CAGUCGUACCGGCGGAUAAUCAGCCUUUCGGGUGCGAUUCUGUGGGGCGUGAGGAGCUUAACACCUUCAUGCCUGCAUAUUCGUGCUCUUGGGUGUACUUGCUCGUGUGGUUGGUUAACAUCAAUUUCGACGCCAUAAAAUGGCUGGAGGAAUGUAGCUUCGAUCUCGUAUGAAGUGUUAUAGCCUUCGGUAGAUGUGGUGAUCGAGAUUGGGGAUUGCAACGGAUACCCUUCGGGGCUACCUGUCUGGUCUCCUGAUCGUUGCUCUGGUGCCGAAAGCGUGCUUACGGUCAUCGAAAGUGAUUUUCAAAAGGUUAGAACGGGUUAGA
Molecule: ribosomal RNA, 328 nt
Filed under: Rhizophagus irregularis
Lineage: Eukaryota; Fungi; Glomeromycota; Glomeromycetes; Glomerales; Glomeraceae
Source: RNAcentral